Magnolia sinica is the source of this 2109-nucleotide RNA transcript. It is a transcript of the gene named F-box protein At4g18380-like, with no coding region annotated. The transcript is spliced from 5 exons. The record is from RefSeq and is a predicted model, not a curated record. Lineage: Eukaryota; Viridiplantae; Streptophyta; Magnoliopsida; Magnoliales; Magnoliaceae.
GCUGAGAGGGAGGGGGAGAGAGAGAGAGAGAGAGAGAGAGAGAAGGAGACGUUGGGUCAGAGCAGAUAAUAGAUCAUCGACUCCAUCAGCUUCUCUGUUGCUGAAAUUUAUUUCUCCAACAUAUCUGAAAGAUUCCUGUGAGUUCUCAGGAAACCCUACAAAUUAAUUGGGAACAUGCAGUUUUGGCCUGAUAAACAGAAAAUGCAGUUGAAAACCCGGAUAUAUGCAGCCCCACCUCCUUGUGUUGACGAGUUCGACCGUAUUCCUGACUCCAUACUCCUUAUCAUCCUCAACAAGCUCGCAGAUGUCAGAGCCCUCGGCCGCUGUGCUGUCGUCUCCAAGCGAUUCAAUGCCCUCGUCCCCCUCGUGCAUGAUGUCUUCGUCAAAAUUGAUCAGGUCGUGUCUGUCGAUGGUGAUGACGAUGAAAACCUAGAUUACUCUUCUCAGAGACCACGGAACCUCUUCUCCCACCUCCUCAAACUAAUGUUCUUCACCCUCCUGAGACCCUUCCACAACCUCCAUGACGUCAGUAAUGUUAACAGGCCCCUCCUUCCCCAACUUUCUCAUCACUCCGCCGAGCAAGUCCUCAGGAAAUUCCAUCAUAUCCAUAACCUCCGGAUCGAAUUGCCCGCUGGCGAUGUCGGCACUGAAGAUGGCGUCCUCCUGAAAUGGAAGGCUGAGUUUGGCAGCACUCUCCAGAAUUGUGUCAUUCUGGGAGGCAUCCGGGUAGAUCAGAAGCCAGCAUCUGGUCAAGAACCGCUCGAGGACAAUGGAAGCAUACCUGAAUCAUUUUAUACGAAUGGAGGGUUGAAAUUGCGAGUGGUCUGGACAAUCAGCUCUCUGAUUGCUGCGUCCACGAGACACUAUUUGCUGCGACCUAUAAUCAAAGACCAUCCAACGCUGAGCAGUUUGAUUUUGACGGAUGCAGAUGGGCAAGGGACCCUGAGCAUGACAGCAGAGCAGCUGAGAGAGUUCAGGGAGAAACCAUUAGCUGCUUCAGCGUCAUCUAGCAGGACCCAGGUGCCAGCUUCAAACAUGAAACUGAGAUACGUCCCGUAUAUGGAACUUCCGGAAGGGAAGGGUAUUAUGCAGGGUGCAACGUUGGUGUCAAUCAAGCCAUCGGGGGAGAGCACCAGCUCGAAUAGGAAGGAAACAGAGGCGUUUGUUGCCAGUGCAUUUGAUGGGUCGUUCAAGGCAGUUGUGAAGGCGUUGCUGAAACGGAGGACUUAUCUGUUGGAGAUGAAUGGUUUUUAGGCCGUGGCCUAUAAUUGGCUUUGUGCUUGGGCAGAAUGUGGCGAGCUUGCGAAAAUGGGUCAUUUGUUGGGUGGAGCUUGGCAAAGUGAUUGGGAUGAGACAGAUAGUUCUUUGGCAGCAGCUUUUGUAGUGCUAUGGAUGCGUGAUUCGAGCUGCUGUUGUUCAAUUGUGGACCCUUGUUUGGUGGGUCUGGUCUGUCCUCCUUUCAACCUUUCAACUGGUUUUUCCUCAAUCCAGCCAUCCAUGGUGAGAGGCCCACUUUGAGAUGACACAGCGGCCAAAAUGCACUAAAAGACCCCCCACCCCAGCCUUAUGACUUUGGAAUCUAACCAGUCAUUGAUUAGAAAACAAAGCUGUAGGUGAUUUUGGGUCCCAGCUCGCUAGGAUUCAUUGCAAGUGGGACCAGAAGCUGAUCCCCCCUAUCCAUACGCCAUCCUUCACUGUCAGGUGGGGUCCACUGAUCACGAUGUGGGCCACACGCCCUCUUCCCUGCUCGAGGUGGUCUCCAGUCGAUCUGUACUCUCACCUAACUAACUAAUCAUAACGUCCGGAAAACAAUUCACGACGUUGGGGUGAUAAGCAUGAGUUAAAGAGGGGUUGAAAAGGUGCACUUUCAAAAUCCGCCUGCAAGAGGGUAAAAAGCUGCACUUGGCUUUUAUUUCAUGGGAGUUGUAUGAUACUCGGGCUGCGUAUGAUGCUUGAUACGCAGGCACCCAGAAAUUGUACAAGUGUCAUAUAUUAACUCCGAUUAGAUUUUGUACGCCACGUCUGCAUUUUGUUAUUUGUAAAUGCUUGUGUAUCAUCCAUCGCACUAUCUAGAGUAGCCUAGUUUUUGGUUUUUUUUUUUUUUUUAAA